This 981-nucleotide ribosomal RNA is filed under the name Fasciola jacksoni. Its description in RNAcentral is "16S ribosomal RNA". The stretch from base 624 to 981 matches the Rfam family "Bacterial large subunit ribosomal RNA", at positions 2045 to 2715 of the family's 2925-position model. Lineage: Eukaryota; Metazoa; Platyhelminthes; Trematoda; Plagiorchiida; Fasciolidae. The record is from RNAcentral.
UGGCUGUGAGGUUGUUUUUAGUUUGGGUUUCGUUUUGUGUGGUACCUUUUGCAUCAUGAUUUAUUGAUGGGUUUCUGUAUAGGGGUAUCCGAAGGAUACUGAUUUUUGUCCUGCUUGCUUAGUGGUUAUUUUAAGGGUGAGGAAUUCUUUAUAAAGUAUGGACGGGGUUGUGAUAGAUGAUUCGGAGUAUCUGAUAUCUGAUAGGGGUAAGUGUUUUUGGUUUAAAAUAGUUUGGUGAGGAUAUCGGGCUAUGGGUUAGAUUUUAGUUGGUUGUUUGAUUUUAUCGGGGGUUAAAGUUCUCCUCGAGUUUGGUAUAUGUUACUAUUCUUUAUCUUUUUGUUUUAAAUUUAUGUGGGUUUGCUCCUUAGGUUUAAUUUUAGGGUUAUUAAUGAUAGAAUAAGUAGGUGUUAUGAUUGAUUUUAGUUUUUCUCGAUUAUUUCCGGUCUGUUUAUUAAAAACAUUUCCAUUUGGAUUUAUGAAUGGUAGUGCCUGCCCAGUGCGUUGUAAAUGGCCGCAGUAUUUUGACUGUGCUAAGGUAGCAUAAUUAGUUGCCUCGUAAUUGGAGGAUUGUUUGAAAGGUUUGACUAGGGGGUUGGAUUAGAUUAGGAUUUGUGCUGAAAUUGAAGUUGAGGUGUAGAUUCCUCGGAGUGGGAAUAAGACGGAAAGACCCCGAGAUCUUUAUAUUGUGAUAUUUGUUUGGGGUAAAACGCUAUGUUUUAUGUUGUUUUUGAUCCUAAAGGAUAGAAGGUUUAAGUUACCUCGGGGAUAACUAGGUAAAAAAUGAGGAGAGGUCAGAUCGAUUUAUUUUAUUGCCAUCUCGAUGUUGACUUAAGAAUAAUAAAGAGGUGUAGGAGUUUCUUUAUAGGGUCUGUUCGACCUUAGUUUCUUUCAUGAGUUGAGUUAAGACCGGCGUGAGCCAGGUCGGUUCUUAUCUAUUGGUGGUGCGAAUUAGUACGAAAGGAUUGUUUGUGCUUAAGGUUU